ACAGAGACCUCGAGCGUUAUCCGGAUUUAUUGGGCGUAAAGCGCAUGUAGGCGGAUAUAUUAGUCAGAUGUCAAAUCUUCGAGCUCAACUCGAAAACUGCAUUUGAAACGGUAUAUCUUGAGACAGUGAGAGACUAAUGGAACAUAUGGUGUAGCAGUAAAAUGCGUUGGUAUCAUAUGGAACACCAAAGGCGAAAGCAGUUAGUUGGUACUGUUCUGAUGCUGAGAUGUGAAAGCGAGGGUAGCAAAUGG
Molecule: ribosomal RNA, 251 nt
Filed under: uncultured prokaryote
Description: partial 16S rRNA
Rfam family: Bacterial small subunit ribosomal RNA
Source: RNAcentral